Molecule: long non-coding RNA, 1232 nt
Filed under: Marmota monax (woodchuck)
Lineage: Eukaryota; Metazoa; Chordata; Mammalia; Rodentia; Sciuridae
Source: RNAcentral
UUUUUUUUAUUGGUUGUUCAAAACAUUACAAAGCUCUUGACAUAUCAUAUUUCAUACAUUAGAUUCAAGUGGGUUAUGAACUCCCAUUUUUACCCCAAAUACAGAUUGCAGAAUCACAUCGGUUACACAUCCACAUUUUUACAUAAUGCCAUAUUAGUAACUGUUGUAUUCUGCUACCUUUCCUAUCCUCUACUAUCCCCCCUCCCCUCCCCUCCCAUCUUCUCUCUCUACCCCAUCUACUGUAAUUCAUUUCUCCCCCUUGUUUUUUUCCCUUUCCCCACACUUCCUCUUGUAUGUAAUUUUGUAUAACAAUGAGGGUCUCCUUCCAUUUCCAUGCAAUUUCCCUUUUCUCUCCCUUUCCCUCCCACCUCAUGUCUCUGUUUAAUGUUAAUCUUUUCCUCCUGCUCUUCCUCCCUGCUCUGUUCUUAGUUGCUCUCAUUAUAUCAAAGAAGACAUUUAGCAUUUGUUUUUUAGGGAUUGGCUAGCUUCACUUAGCAUAAUCUGCUCUAAUGCCAUCCAUUUCCCUGCAAAUUCCAUGAUUUUGUCAUUUUUUAGUGCAGAGUAAUACUCCAUUGUGUAUAAAUGCCACAUUUUUUUUAUCCAUUCAUCUAUUGAAGGACAUCUGGGUUGGUUCCACAGUCUAGCUAUUGUGAAUUGUGCUGCUAUGAACAUCGAUGUGGCAGUAUCCCUGUAGUAUGCUCUUUUAAGGUCUUCAGGGAAUAGUCCGAGAAGGGCAAUAGCUGGGUCAAAUGGUGGUUCCAUUCCCAGCUUUCCCAGGAAUCUCCAUACUGCUUUCCAAAUUGGCCGCACCAAUUUGCAGUCCCACCAGCAAUGUACAAGAGUACCCUUUUCUCCACAUCCUUGCCAGCACGUGUUGUUGUUUGACUUCAUAAUGGCUGCCAAUCUUACUGGAGUGAGAUGGUAUCUUAGGGUGGUUUUGAUUUGCAUUUCUCUGCUAGAGAUGGUGAGCAUUUUUUCAUGUACUUGUGGAUUGAUUGUAUGUCCUCCUCUGAGAAGUGUCUGUUCAGGUCCUUGGCCCCAUCUUUGCCUCUCUUGAACAAGCCCCUAAGGUGCUGAGUAUAGAGAGGGGCUGGGGGACUGGGAUUGUGGCUCAGCGGUAGAGUGCUCGCCUAGCAUGGGCAGGACCCGGGUUCGAUCCUCAGCACCACAUAAAAAUAAAGGCAUUGUGUAGUGUUCAUCUACACCUAAAAAAUAAAUAUUUUAAAAAGGAG